CCUACGGGUGGCAGCAGUGAGGAAUAUUGGUCAAUGGGCGGGAGACUGAACCAGCCAAGUAGCGUGAGGGAUGAAGGCACUACGGGUUGUAAACUUCUUUUAUAAAGGAAUAAAGUGUGGCACGCGUGCCUGUUUGUAUGUACUUUAUGAAAAAGGAUCGGCUAACUCCGUGCCAGCAGCCGCGGUAAUACGGAGGAUCCGAGCGUUAUCCGGAUUUAUUGGGUUUAAAGGGGGCGUAGAUGGGUUGUUAAGUCAGGUGUGAAAGUUUGCGGCUCAACCCUAAAAUUGCAAUUGAUACUGGCAGUCUUGAGUACAGGUGAGGUAGGCGGAAUUCGUGGUGUAGCGGUGAAAUGCUUAGAUAUCACGAAGAACUCCGAUUGCGAAGGCAGCUUACUAAACCGCCACUGACAUUGAGGCUCGAAAGUGUGGGUAUCAAACAGGAUUAGAUACCCUGGUAGUC
This 460-nucleotide ribosomal RNA is filed under the name uncultured bacterium. RNAcentral's name for it is "partial 16S ribosomal RNA". It matches the Rfam family "Bacterial small subunit ribosomal RNA", at positions 338 to 795 of the family's 1533-position model. The record is from RNAcentral.